GACGAACGCUGGCGGCGUGCCUAAUACAUGCAAGUAGAACGCACAGUUUAUACCGUAGCUUGCUACAUCAUAGACUGUGAGUUGCGAACGGGUGAGUAACGCGUAGGUAACCUGCCUGGUAGCGGGGGAUAACUAUUGGAAACGAUAGCUAAUACCGCAUAAUAUUAAUUAUUGCAUGAUAAUUAAUUGAAAGGUGCAAUUGCACCACUACCAGAUGGACCUGCGUUGUAUUAGCUAGUAGGUGAGGUAACGGCUCACCUAGGCGACGAUACAUAGCCGACCUGAGAGGGUGAUCGGCCACACUGGGACUGAGACACGGCCCAGACUCCUACGGGAGGCAGCAGUAGGGAAUCUUCGGCAAUGGACGAAAGUCUGACCGAGCAACGCCGCGUGAGUGAAGAAGGUUUUCGGAUCGUAAAGCUCUGUUGUAAGAGAAGAACGGGUGUGAGAGUGGAAAGUUCACACUGUGACGGUAUCUUACCAGAAAGGGACGGCUAACUACGUG
Molecule: ribosomal RNA, 505 nt
Filed under: uncultured bacterium
Lineage: Bacteria
Description: partial 16S ribosomal RNA
Rfam family: Bacterial small subunit ribosomal RNA
Source: RNAcentral